CAGGAGAGUAAGAUGCCAUCCUAUCAGUUAGUAAGUAGGGUAAGGGCCUACUUAGACGAAGACGGGUACGGGGAAUGAGGGUUUGAUUCCGGAGAGGGAGCCUGAGAGAUGGCUACCAGGACCAAGGUCAGCAGCAGGCGCGAAAAUUAUCGAAGCCCGCCUAGGGGCGAUAGUGAGGAGACGUGUAUAACGAAGUACGUGUAAAGAACGUGCUAAUAACUGGAGGUCAAGUCUGGUGCCAGCAUCCGCGGUAAUUCCAGCUCCAGGGGUGUCUAUGAUGAUUGCUGCGAUUAAAAAGUCCGUAGUCAAUCUGACUGACUGGCCUGCAAUGUGAUUGAUUAAAGAACGAGCAGGGUUAGGAAAGCAGAGAAUCAGGAGCGACCGAGGGCUAGAGUAUUGAAUGGCGAGAGGUGAAAUUUGAUGACCCAUUCAGGAGUGACAAAGGCGAAGGCACUAGUCAAGGGCGAAUCCGAUGAUCAAGGACGUAGGCUAGAGUUUCGAAAACGAUUAGAGACCGGAGUAGUUCUAGCAGUAAACUAUGCCGACGCCGUGGUAUCAUUUUGGUAUUGCGGAAGAGAAAUCAAGUAAGGCUUUGGGGAGAGUACGCGCGCAAGCGAUAAAUUUAAAGGAAAUUGACGGAGGAACACCACAAGGAGUGGAGUGUGCGGCUUAAUUUGACUCAACGCGGGACAGCUUACCAGGCCCGAUAAUCGAGCGAGCGUAGUACGCGAUAGGUUAAAGAGUGGUGCAUGGCUGCUAUCGACAGUUGGGGUGACCUUAGGGUUAAUUCCGGCAAGUAGUGAGACCCCUGCAGAUAGUGGACAGGUAUUUUUAAAAUACAGGAAGGAAGGGACAAGAGCAGGUCAGUGAUGCCCUUAGAUGGCCUGGGCUGCACGCGCACUACAGUGGUCAUUAUAAGUAGAAGUUAGAUAUAAAGAUGAUCGAGAGGGACUGAGCUUUGUA
Molecule: ribosomal RNA, 963 nt
Filed under: Dictyocoela sp.
Lineage: Eukaryota; Fungi; Microsporidia
Description: SSU rRNA
Rfam family: Microsporidia small subunit ribosomal RNA
Source: RNAcentral